Molecule: ribosomal RNA, 634 nt
Filed under: uncultured Marinobacter sp.
Lineage: Bacteria; Pseudomonadati; Pseudomonadota; Gammaproteobacteria; Pseudomonadales; Marinobacteraceae
Description: bacterial SSU rRNA
Rfam family: Bacterial small subunit ribosomal RNA
Source: RNAcentral
CGCCUGGGGAGUGCGGCCGCAAGGUUAAAACUCAAAUGAAUUGACGGGGGCCCGCACAAGCGGUGGAGCAUGUGGUUUAAUUCGACGCAACGCGAAGAACCUUACCUGGCCUUGACAUGCAGAGAACUUUCCAGAGAUGGAUUGGUGCCUUCGGGAACUCUGACACAGGUGCUGCAUGGCCGUCGUCAGCUCGUGUCGUGAGAUGUUGGGUUAAGUCCCGUAACGAGCGCAACCCCUAUCCCUAGUUGCUAGCAGUUCGGCUGAGAACUCUAGGGAGACUGCCGGUGACAAACCGGAGGAAGGUGGGGAUGACGUCAGGUCAUCAUGGCCCUUACGGCCAGGGCUACACACGUGCUACAAUGGUGCGCACAGGGGGCUGCAAACCCGCGAGGGGGAGCCAAUCUCACUAAACGCAUCGUAGUCCGGAUCGCAGUCUGCAACUCGACUGCGUGAAGUCGGAAUCGCUAGUAAUCGUGAAUCAGAAUGUCACGGUGAAUACGUUCCCGGGCCUUGUACACACCGCCCGUCACACCAUGGGAGUGGAUUGCACCAGAAGUGGUUAGUCUAACCUUCGGGAGGACGAUCACCACGGUGUGGUUCAUGACUGGGGUGAAGUCGUAACAAGGUAACCGUA